This 245-nucleotide ribosomal RNA is filed under the name uncultured Prevotellaceae bacterium. RNAcentral's name for it is "partial 16S ribosomal RNA". It matches the Rfam family "Bacterial small subunit ribosomal RNA", at positions 524 to 769 of the family's 1533-position model. The record is from RNAcentral. Lineage: Bacteria; Pseudomonadati; Bacteroidota; Bacteroidia; Bacteroidales; Prevotellaceae.
UACGGAAGGUCCGAGCGUUAUCCGGAUUUAUUGGGUUUAAAGGGUGCGUAGGCGGGAGGACAAGUCAGCCGUGAAAUCGCGUGGCUCAACCACGCCGAGCGGUUGAAACUGUCUUUCUUGAGUACGGUGAGGGAAGGCGGAAUUCGUGGUGUAGCGGUGAAAUGCAUAGAUAUCACGAAGAACUCCGAUCGCGCAGGCAGCUUUCCGUCCCGCAACUGACGCUGAGGCACGAAGGUGCGGGUAUC